CCUACCUGCAGUAAGAGGGGUUCUCGGGACGCACGUACACGUGUUGGUCAUAAUGAAUCUUCAUCGCUGGAAAAACUAAAGGACGAACUUGCAGCCAGACUAUCUGCAGUUCUGUUGCCAUAUUUAUGAGUUACGGUUAUGUUGGCCAUACAAAACACAGACAUAAAAAAAUGAACUGCAUUAGUCAGCAAGUUUCCACUUCCUCUGUCCUCCUUUCCUGCUUCUCUCCACAUCAGUCCCAUCCUGAAGACAUCCCGUUUCUCCAUUCUGAAAGAGGAGCCAUGUUAACCAGUCGGCCUCUGAAGGAGAGAGACACUGACAGACUGCCUCCAUCUCAAGUCGAGCAGCUGUUGUUGUAACUACCCCUGUUUAUCUCUGCACUUCCUAGUUUGUACCUAGGAGCUAACGGGAGCUGACCCGCCAUUCAAAACCCAACAGGAUUCUGGGAACAGACGCUUUCUGCGUUACCCGGCACCGUCAAUCUCUCUUACCUGUCGCAUGUGUCACAUCAGAGCGAGAAAAAGAGAGAGGGUCAGGAAGAAAGUGACACUGGAGAGACAACACGAGGUAAACAGAUCAGGAUCCAUUCCCCUGAGACGCUAUUAAGACCCCCGUGAGAACAACACUAGUUAUCCAGAGGGGCCUCAACACUUAACACACGCUUCCUGUCCAUCUCCUCCCCCAACAAACAUGUCCUUGUUGUUUCAGAUGGGAAGGUGACCUCACUUCUGCUGUGCUCUGGUUCCCAUUGCUGUCCAACAGGGAAAGAUAAAUGUAAGAUCACUAUUACACAAACACACACCCAUACAUUUCAUGAAUGUAAUGCAGGCAGAUUUCCAUAAAUAGACCCAACAAGCCCACACAGAAACCUCUUUGUGUCAUGUUUGUGGACUGUAAAUCACAGAAGAAUGAGGCAUCAGUGAAACAAAUAGCGACUUUAUGAGAUAAAGUUAAGUAAGUUGAAUUUGAUUGGAGUGUCUGUCGUAAUAUUGGCUCUGGGCAUUAAUGUUUAAUGGCAGCAUUAAUAUUAACAAGUGUACAAGCACAAAUGAGCAAAGCAGCAGGUCACAGGGUUUAUUAGCACCGUGGGGAGUGAUCGGCAGGUAUUCACAGAAUCUAAGGAGAACAGCACAUCUAACACGGCCACUGGGUGGCUUUCUGCCCUCUGUUUGAGUCUGUUUGUCAUGACGCUGAGGGGCAAACACACUCACACACUCAUACCAACACACACACAAACGUACUUAACGCUGGAUGACAUUAACAUGCUGGCUGCAUAGGUUACUUCCAGCAGGCUCUUUGUGUGUCGCUGCUGUGCUGGUAGCAGUUGUUUGUUGUGUGUGUGUGUGUGUGUGUGUGUGUGUGUGUGUGUACAUGCAUAUGCAGCAAUGAGUA
Cyprinus carpio (common carp) is the source of this 1392-nucleotide long non-coding RNA. The record is from Ensembl. Lineage: Eukaryota; Metazoa; Chordata; Actinopteri; Cypriniformes; Cyprinidae.